This 534-nucleotide ribosomal RNA is filed under the name uncultured bacterium. RNAcentral describes it as "bacterial SSU rRNA". It matches the Rfam family "Bacterial small subunit ribosomal RNA", at positions 8 to 525 of the family's 1533-position model. The record is from RNAcentral.
AGAGUUUGAUCAUGGCUCAGAAUCAACGCUGGCGGCGUGCCUAACACAUGCAAGUCGAACGCGAAAGUGGAGCAAUCCAUGAGUAGAGUGGCAAACGGGUGAGUAACGCGUGGGUGACCUGCCUUCGAGUGGGGGAUAACGCCCCGAAAGGGACGCUAAUACCGCAUAACAUGCUGCCUUUUAACAGGCGGACAUCAAAGCUGGGGAUCGCAAGACCCAGCGCUGGAAGAGGGGCCCGCGUCCGAUUAGCUAGUUGGUGAGGUAAAGGCUCACCAAGGCAUCGAUCGGUAGCCGGCCUGAGAGGGCGACCGGCCACACUGGCACUGAAACACGGGCCAGACUCCUACGGGAGGCAGCAGUGGGGAAUUUUGGGCAAUGGCCGAAAGGCUGACCCAGCAACGCCGCGUGAAGGAUGAAAUCUUUCGGGAUGUAAACUUCGCAAGUCAGGGAAGAAUAAACUGAUGCUAACACCAUCGGAUAUGACGGUAUCUGACGUAAGCCCCGGCUAACUCCGUGCUAGCAGCCGCGGUAAUC